GACACCUAAAGUCUCCUAAAAAGACCCUAAUUUAUAGAUUUAGUAAAAAGAAAAACUAAACAAGAUAACUUUUACUGCAAAUAAAUGAGAGGUUUAACUGCAUUGUUCAAAGAGACAGCAAGGGCCUAACUGAACCAGUUCUUUUCAGCUUUGGGCUAAACCAUUUUUCCUUUUCUUCUUCUUCUUGUUUAUUUCCUUGUUUUCCUUCUUCCCUUCCUUUUUUUCUUUAGUUUUUUUCUUCUUUCAUUCCUUCCUUUCUUUCCUUUCUUUCUUUUCUUUCUUUUUAUUCUUUUUUCUUCAUUUCUCUCCAUUUCCUCUUCCUUCCUUUAUUUCCUUUCCUUGUUUUCUUUCUUUCUUUCUUUCCUUCCCUUGUUCUUUCCUUCCUUUCUUUUCUUUCGUUCUUUACUUCCUUUCUUCCUUUUCUUUCCUUCUUUACUUCCUUUCUUCCUUUACUUUCCUUCAUUCCUUUGUCUUCUACUUUCCCAAAUGGGGUUUAAAGGUUUAAUUGACUAUUUAAAAAGUACAUUACAGUACUUUUAAACAUCCAUAAACCUCAAAAUAGUCCUGAAAAAUAAACAUUAAAAAAAAAUUAAAAAAAUCCAAAAAAUGCUAUACCGCUACCAAACCUAUAUGCAUUUGCAUAUCAAGUGUCAGUACAAUAUUAUACGUUAUCAUACUAUAUAGGUUAACUACUAGCAUGAUACCUGGUAGCAACGUCAUGGACCCUGCC
RNAcentral lists this long non-coding RNA (730 nucleotides) under Phoenix dactylifera (date palm). Its description in RNAcentral is "long non-coding RNA (PDAC_LNC007465)". The record is from RNAcentral. Lineage: Eukaryota; Viridiplantae; Streptophyta; Magnoliopsida; Arecales; Arecaceae.